AUUGAACGCUGGCGGCACGCUUAACACAUGCAAGUCGAGCGGUAACAUGGGUAGUAGCAAUACUAUCUGAUGACGAGCGGCGGACGGUUGAGUAACACGUAGGAACUUGCCCAGUAGAGGGGGACAACCAAGGGAAACUUUGGCUAAUACCGCAUAUACUCGAGAGAGGAAAGCUGCCAGCAAUGGUGGCGCUAUUGGAGAGGCCUGCGUCCGAUUAGCUAGUUGGUGAGGUAAUAGCUUACCAAGGCGAGGAGCGGUAACUGGUCUGAGAGGACGACCAGUCUCACUGGGACUGAGACACGGCCCAGACUCCUACGGGAGGCAGCAGUGGGGAAUCUUGGACAAUGGGGGCAACCCUGAUCCAGCGAUGCCGCGUGAGUGAAGAAGGCCUUCGGGUCGUAAAGCUCUUUAGGCUGGGAAGAAGGUUAGUAGUUUAAGAGAUAACUAGCUUGACUGUACCAGCAGAAUAAGCACCGGCAAACUCUGUGCCAGCCGCCGCCGUAA
Molecule: ribosomal RNA, 504 nt
Filed under: uncultured bacterium
Lineage: Bacteria
Description: partial 16S ribosomal RNA
Rfam family: Bacterial small subunit ribosomal RNA
Source: RNAcentral